This 510-nucleotide ribosomal RNA is filed under the name Triticum aestivum (bread wheat). Its description in RNAcentral is "partial small subunit ribosomal RNA". The record is from RNAcentral. Lineage: Eukaryota; Viridiplantae; Streptophyta; Magnoliopsida; Poales; Poaceae.
AUGACAAGUGGAAGGGUGAGAAGAGCAGAAGGUGUUGCAGCUGAAUCUGAGCAAGGAGCUGCACCAAGACCCAGGAAGAAGCAGGCAAGAGGAGGGUCAAUUGCUGCAAGGGGAGGGAGAACACCUGCUGCAAGAGGAGGGACAAAUGGUGCAAGGGGAGGGCGAACACCUGCUGCAAGAGGAGGGGCAAAUGUUACAAGGGGAGGAAGAACACCUGCUGCAAGGGGAGGGAGAACAACUGCUUCAAGGGGUGCAAGAGGAGGGGAAAAUGCUGGAAGGGGAGGGAGAACACCUGAUGCAACAGGAGAUAGCACAAGUGCUCCAAGAGGAGCUAGAGCUACUGCCCCUGGCUCCUACAACCUUCUCUUUGGAAAUGAUGGAGCAAGUGCACACCAAGCCCCACACUUCAUGCAAGCAGAAGAGGAGGUUCUUGUUAGCCAGAAUGCACCAAAUGGUCUCUAUGAUGAAGGAUGGCCUGAUGACCUUCAUGAUUUUCUCUCACUGUUAUAG